This 242-nucleotide ribosomal RNA is filed under the name uncultured bacterium. RNAcentral describes it as "partial small subunit ribosomal RNA". It matches the Rfam family "Bacterial small subunit ribosomal RNA", at positions 26 to 283 of the family's 1533-position model. The record is from RNAcentral.
AGGGUGAACGCUGGCGGCGUGCUUAAGACAUGCAAGUCGAACGGAUGCUUUCGGGCAUCAGUGGCGCACGGGUGAGUAACGCGUAACUGACCUACCUCCAAGUUCAGCAUAACGUCUCGAAAGAGACGCUAAUUCUGAAUGUGAUCCCGGAUCGUGUUCCGUGAUUAAAGAAUUUCGCUUGGAGAUGGGGUUGCGUUCCAUCAGCUGGUUGGUAGGGUAAAGCCUACCAAGGCGACGACGGA